Molecule: long non-coding RNA, 1279 nt
Filed under: Homo sapiens (human)
Lineage: Eukaryota; Metazoa; Chordata; Mammalia; Primates; Hominidae
Description: non-protein coding lnc-DHX38-23:1
Source: RNAcentral
UGAACUUCACCACUCGCUCCACCUUCUCCACCAACUACCGGUCCCUGGGCUUUGUCCAGGCGCCCAGCUACAGUGCCCGGCCAGUCAGCAGCAUGGCCAGCGUCUAUGCAGGCACCAGGGGCUCUGGUUCCUGGAUCUCCAUGUCCCACUCCGCCAGCUUCUGGGGCGGCAUGGGGUCUGGGGGCCUGUCCGCGGGGAUGGCUGGGGGUCUUGCAAGAAUGGGAGGCAUCCAGAACAAGAAGGAGACCAUGCAAAGCCUGAAGUACUGCCUGACCUCCUACCUGAACACAGUGAGGAACCUGGAGAUGGAGAACUGGAAGCUAGAGAGCAAAAUCCGGGAGCACCUGGAGAAGAAGGGACCCCAGUUCAGAGACUGGAGCCGUUACUUCCAGACCAUCAAGGACCUGAGGGCUCAGAUCUUCGCAAAUACUGUGGACAAUGCCUGCAUCGUUCUGCAGAUUGACAGUGCCCGUCUUGCAGCUGAUGAUUUUAGAGUCAAGUAUGAGACGGAGCUGGCCGUGCACUAGUCUGUGGAGAAUGACAUCCAUGGGCUCUGCAAGGUCAUUGAUGACACCAGUGUCACUUGGCUGCAGCUGGAGACAGAGAUCAAGGCUCGCAAGGAAGAGCUGCUCUUCAUGAAGAAGAACCACGGAGAGGAAGUAAAAGGCCUACAAGCCCAGAUUGCCAGCUCUGGGUUGACCUUGGAGGUAGAUCCCCAAAUCUCAGGACCUCGCCAAGAUCAUGGCAGACAUCUGGGCCCAAUAUGACAAGCUGGCUCGGAAGAACAGAGAGGAGCUGGACAAGUACUGGUCUCAGCAGAUUGAGGAGAGCACCACGGUGGUCACCACGCAGUCCGUCAAGGUUGGAGCUGCUGAGACGACACUCACGGAGCUGAGAUAUACAGUCCAGUCCUUGGAGACUGACCUGGACUCAAUGAGAAAUCUGAAGGCCAGCUUGGAGAACAGCCUGAGGGAGGUGGAGGCCCGCUACACCCUGCAGAUGGAGCAGCUCAACGGGAUCCUGCUUUACCUGGAGUCAGAGCUGGCACAGACCCGGGCAGAGGGGUAGCGCCAGGCCGAGGAGUAUGAGGCCCUGCAGAACAUCAAGGUCAACCUGGAGGAUGAGAUCGCCACCUACCGCUGCCUGCUGGAAGAUGGCGAGGACUUCAAUCUUGGUGAUGCCCUGGACAGCAGCAACUCCAUGCAAACCAUUCAAAAGACCACCACCUGCCGGAUAGUGGAUGGCAAAGUGGUGUCUGAGACCAAUGACCCCAAAGUUC